AUGCCUAACCCAAUGCUCGGAGUUGUUCAGCAAGGUCAGCUGCUCCCUGCCCGGUCCUGCAGCCCUGGCACCGGGAGGGCAACCCUCCGUCCCGGUAGAGCCUGGCUCCCUACUCUCUUGGGAUCAGAAGGGGUUCAGAUUUUGGAUUCCCCCCCCCAGAUUUUUGGAAUAUUUGCAUCUACACAUGAAGUACUCAGGGAGCGGAAUUCACAUCUGUGCACGAAAUUUUGUACACGCCUGGUGCACGUAGCCUGGAGGCAGCUGCACGCGAUGUUUUUAGUCCCGCCGUGCGCUCUGCCUGUGACCCGUGAUGCAGACUCGUCUGGGAUGGUCUGCGGGCGCUGUUGUGCCGGCGCUCGGCCGUUUGGGCUUUGGGAGCAUUUCGGAUUUUGGACUUUGGCAGUCGGGGUGCUCAGCCUGUGGGCGGAGGCACGAGCUUGGUCUGCAUGGGGACUGAGUGGGCCGGGCCGCUGCGACAGUACAGAGCAGGGCGCGGCUCCCGGCCUCCGCCCCAGCGCCCAGCAGAGCCCCCGGCGACCUCCAGAGGACCUUGCCCACGCCGGGGACGUGCUGCCUCUGAGUCAGGCCGUCCCGCUUUGGACUGCCCUAAGAAAAUUCUUCCUCCUGUUCUGCCAAAAUCCGCCUCCCCACAGCGCCCACUCUCUGGCCCCGGCUCCGCCAGAAGGCAAAUGUCAAAAAAAUAAUCUUGAAAGAGAAGACGCAGCAUGUGAAAAGCGUGAUGGAAUCCGGGCGAGGAGGCGCAGGCUCCCUGCUGGCGGCUCUCGGCCCAGAGCCGAGGUCAGGGCUCCCGUGGAAUCAGAACCGAGGGCUCUCAGCCCUCGUCCUCUCCCUUCUCCGUGCUGCCGGACACGGCCCUGGCGCGCAGGUGACAGCCCCAGGCCUGCGGGCCCUGACCCCCCUCCACCCACCCCCCAGCCCGACGACGUGCUCUCUGGCCCGGAGCCCCUGUGCAGCUGGGGGACGUGGCCAUGCAGGGCUCUUGUGUGCAGAACCUGGCCGGCGUCCCCUCCCUGGCACCCGUGCCUGGAGCUGGCACGUGCCUCACGGAGGAGGAAGGCAGGUGUCUGUCUUUAG
Molecule: long non-coding RNA, 1095 nt
Filed under: Oryctolagus cuniculus (rabbit)
Lineage: Eukaryota; Metazoa; Chordata; Mammalia; Lagomorpha; Leporidae
Description: lncRNA (ENSOCUG00000037696.1)
Source: RNAcentral